Long non-coding RNA from Selaginella moellendorffii, 271 nucleotides. RefSeq lists it as uncharacterized. The record is from RefSeq and is a predicted model, not a curated record. The transcript has 2 exons. Lineage: Eukaryota; Viridiplantae; Streptophyta; Lycopodiopsida; Selaginellales; Selaginellaceae.
GGUCACGUAUCUUAUGAAAGACAGCGGGCAGCAAGCUCUUCCAUCGCGCUUCCUGGCAGAAAUUCCACGGGGACUUGUCAAAAGGAUUGUUAGCUACGAUCACCAAGUGACCAACAUCACAGCCACCACGAACACAAUUGGAAGGAAGCGCGAGGAACGUGGAUAGGCAGUGGACGCGAAGGCAAGUGUUAGAAGAAGCAUUUUAAUCUCCAUCGGCAUGUCAGCUUUGUGGCCAAGAAGGUUUUAGCAUGAAUCAUUUUGCAAAUUGGGA